GAUGAAGAACGUAGCGAAAUGCGAUACUUGGUGUGAAUUGCAGAAUCCCGUGAACCAUCGAGUCUUUGAACGCAAGUUGCGCCCGAAGCCAUUAGGCCGAGGGCACGCCUGCCUGGGCGUCACACGUCGUUGCCCCCCCAUCUACUCCUUCGGGAUUGCGAGGGGCGGAUGAUGGCCUCCCGUGCGCCUCGUCGCGCGGUUGGCAUAAAUGCCAAGUCCUCGGCGACGCACGCCACGACAAUCGGUGGUUGCGAAACCUCGGUUGCCCGUCGUGUGCGGUCGUCGCGCAUCGAGGGCUCGAAAAAAUUGCCGGGCUCCGGCUCGGCUUUCAACGCGACCCCAGGUCAGGCGGGGUUACCCGCUGAAUUUAAGCAUAUCAAAAGCGGAGGA
RNAcentral lists this unclassified non-coding RNA (390 nucleotides) under soil metagenome. RNAcentral's name for it is "partial contains 5.8S ribosomal RNA, internal transcribed spacer 2, and large subunit ribosomal RNA". The stretch from base 1 to 122 matches the Rfam family "5.8S ribosomal RNA", at positions 35 to 154 of the family's 154-position model. The record is from RNAcentral.